UAGAAUGUGUUGUCUUGCUGUUCCCAUAGCC
This 31-nucleotide non-coding RNA is filed under the name Rattus norvegicus (Norway rat). Lineage: Eukaryota; Metazoa; Chordata; Mammalia; Rodentia; Muridae. The record is from RNAcentral.